CCCAGACUCCUACGGGAGGCAGCAGUGGGGAAUAUUGCACAAUGGGGGAAACCCUGAUGCAGCGACGCCGCGUGAGUGAAGAAGUAUUUCGGUAUGUAAAGCUCUCUCAGCAGGGAAGAAAAUGACGGUACCUGACUAAGAAGCCCCGGCUAACUACGUGCCAGCAGCCGCGGUAAUACGUAGGGGGCAAGCGUUAUCCGGAUUUACUGGGUGUAAAGGGAGCGUAGACGGUGAUGCAAGUCAGAAGUGAAAGCCCGGGGCUCAACUCCGGGACUGCUUUUGAAACUGUGUAACUGGAGUGCAGGAGAGGUAAGCGGAAUUCCUGGUGUAGCGGUGAAAUGCGUAGAUAUCAGGAGGAACACCAGUGGCGAAGGCGGCUUACUGGACUGUAACUGACGUUGAGGCUCGAAAGCGUGGGGAGCAAACAGGAUUAGAUACCCGCGUAG
This 446-nucleotide ribosomal RNA is filed under the name uncultured bacterium. RNAcentral's name for it is "bacterial SSU rRNA". It matches the Rfam family "Bacterial small subunit ribosomal RNA", at positions 330 to 793 of the family's 1533-position model. The record is from RNAcentral.